RNAcentral lists this long non-coding RNA (90 nucleotides) under Chinchilla lanigera (long-tailed chinchilla). RNAcentral's name for it is "lncRNA (ENSCLAG00000026082.1)". Lineage: Eukaryota; Metazoa; Chordata; Mammalia; Rodentia; Chinchillidae. The record is from RNAcentral.
CACGAACUGGCCAUCUUUGUGCAGGGAUGAAAGAGCAGUAUGAAGGGAAGAAGGUUUUAGAUGCCAAAGAUCACCGCUCCGCAAGUGACC